This 250-nucleotide unclassified non-coding RNA is filed under the name plant metagenome. RNAcentral's name for it is "partial contains small subunit ribosomal RNA, internal transcribed spacer 1, and 5.8S ribosomal RNA". The record is from RNAcentral.
GUAGGUGAACCUGCGGAAGGAUCAUUACAGUGUUCCCUGCCCUCACGGGUAGAAACGCCCACCCUUGUGUAUUAUAUCUUUGUUGCUUCGGCAGGCCGCCCUCGGGCACCGGCUCCGGCUGGAUCGUGCCUGCCAAAGGAAACCCAAACUCUGAAUGUUAGUGUCGUCUGAGUACUAUCUAAUAGUUAAAACUUUCAACAACGGAUCUCUUGGUUCUGGCAUCGAUGAAGAACGCAGCAUCUGACUGACU